GGGGUUCUUGUCAGACUUGAGCUGGGUGGAGCCCAGGUACUUGGCCCCAAAUAUGACCCCAUCCAGGAGGUCAUUUGGGUCACAGGGGCCAGGUUGGAUGGUCCUCUGCGCCCUGUAAAUGAAGAGGUCAGUGAUUAUUGAACAAAGUGAAAGACACAGCUCAUUUGAACCAAUCAUCAGCAAAAGUCUACCUCCGGAGCCUCCUCCCCUAACUUCAUCCAUACGGGCUCUGGGACCUCGUCCUCCGGGAAAGACUCCACGGAGUCAUCCCUAU
Long non-coding RNA from Salvelinus sp. IW2-2015, 274 nucleotides. RefSeq lists it as uncharacterized. Lineage: Eukaryota; Metazoa; Chordata; Actinopteri; Salmoniformes; Salmonidae. The record is from RefSeq and is a predicted model, not a curated record.